UACGUAGGGUCCAAGCGUUAUCCGGAAUCACUGGGCGUAAAGCGUGCGUAGGUGGUUUGUUAAGUGCGAUGCGAAAUCCUGGGGCUCAACCCCAUGGACUGUAUAGCAUACUGGCAAACUAGAGGACAUGAGAGGCAAGUGGAAUUACUGGUGUAGCAGUGAAAUGCGUAGAUAUCAGUAGGAACACCAAUGGCGAAGGCAGCUUGCUGGCAUGUAUCUGACGCUAAGGCACGAAAGCGUGGGGAGCGAACAGG
Molecule: ribosomal RNA, 254 nt
Filed under: uncultured bacterium
Lineage: Bacteria
Description: partial 16S ribosomal RNA
Rfam family: Bacterial small subunit ribosomal RNA
Source: RNAcentral